RNAcentral lists this ribosomal RNA (271 nucleotides) under uncultured bacterium. RNAcentral's name for it is "partial 16S ribosomal RNA". It matches the Rfam family "Archaeal small subunit ribosomal RNA", at positions 474 to 745 of the family's 1478-position model. The record is from RNAcentral.
AACCAGCACCUCAAGUGGUCAGGAUGAUUAUUGGGCCUAAAGCAUCCGUAGCUCGUUUUGUAAGUUUUCGGUUAAAUCCAUACGCUCAACGUAUAGGCCGCCGAAAAUACUGUGCAGCUAGGGAGUGGGAGAGGUACACGGUACUCAAUAGGAAGGGGUAAAAUCCUUUGAUCUAUUGAUGACCACCUGUGGCGAAGGCGGUGUACCAGAACACGUUCGACGGUGAGGGAUGAAAGUUGGGGGAGCAAACCGGAUUAGAUACCCUGGUAGU